AGUAACACGUGGGUAACCUGCCCUGAUGAUUGGGACAACCCGAGGAAACUCGGGCUAAUACCGAAUGUGCCCUCUGGCCUCAAGGCCGCUGGGGAAAGGAAGCUUCGGCCUCCGCAUCGGGAUGGGCCCGCGGCCCAUUAGCUUGUUGGUGGGGUAAUGGCCCACCAAGGCGACGAUGGGUAGCUGGUCUGAGAGGACGAUCAGCCACACUGGGACUGAGACACGGCCCAG
RNAcentral lists this ribosomal RNA (231 nucleotides) under uncultured bacterium. Its description in RNAcentral is "partial 16S ribosomal RNA". It matches the Rfam family "Bacterial small subunit ribosomal RNA", at positions 109 to 334 of the family's 1533-position model. The record is from RNAcentral.